UCACGCCCGGUCCCUUUCCGAACCCGGAAGCUAAGCCUGCCUGCGCCGAUGGUACUGCACCCGGGAGGGUGUGGGAGAGUAGGUCACCGCCGGCA
RNAcentral lists this ribosomal RNA (95 nucleotides) under Corynebacterium bovis. The record is from RNAcentral. Lineage: Bacteria; Bacillati; Actinomycetota; Actinomycetes; Mycobacteriales; Corynebacteriaceae.